This 32451-nucleotide long non-coding RNA is filed under the name Medicago truncatula (barrel medic). RNAcentral describes it as "long non-coding RNA (MTRU_LNC007311)". The record is from RNAcentral. Lineage: Eukaryota; Viridiplantae; Streptophyta; Magnoliopsida; Fabales; Fabaceae.
GAAUCUUCAUCUCUUCUUCAUCCUUUGCAAAGCUAUCAUAGACAUAUAGCUGCAUCUACCCUUGUGUGUUUUGAGGUAUUCAAACAAGCUAUUAUGUAAUCUUUUGAUCUUUUAAUAUAUGGUACUAGCUAUUUAUUCAAUAUUGUUGUUUAUUCUUGCAUUUAAUUGUUUUAUUGAGAUUCAAAAUGAUAUGGACACAUACUUUUGAAUCUAGAAAUAGAAUAACAAUCUAUCUUAAGUUAUCACUCUAGAAAUGGAUGUUAAUAUUUGAUAAUUACUUUUAAUCUAGGACUUAAUGCUUUUGGGUAAUUUAAUCGGUUGGGAAAUCGUCGAUUAAACUAUCCAAUCAACUUUGUGAUCGUUUAAAUGUUUGGGAAAUCGAUGUUUAAACGAUCCCUUAGAAAUAACGAUAUCAUUUGGACACGAAUGAUAUUGACGAGUGAUUGUGAUAAUAUAGUUUAAAAAGCUAGAAUUCGUUAAUCGAUCGAGAGAUUGCAGCUGUUACGCUUGGUUGAUGUCUCUGACCGCAAGCGGAAUAGCCCUAUCUCUUCUCGUUUUACUUUUAUGUCGAUUAGGAAAAUAAUUUUACACAAACAAACAAUUUAUACCCAAACAAUUAAUGUGACAAAUAUUGUGAAAAUGCUUAUGAAAUACGCAACUCCCUGUGGACACGAUCCUAUAUAUACUUACGUGUAAAUAGUUUUAUGAGAGGUAAAAAUCCUUCAUCAGUAAACUCGUCACAAAAUCCAUAGAAAUGCUAUCCCACUUCCACUCCGGCACAUCCAACGGUGUCAACAACCCUGCAGGCUUCUGAUGUUCAACCUUAGACUUCAGACAAGUCAAACAUGCAUACACAAAUUGAGCGACAUCACGCUUCAAACCGGACCAACCAAAACAGCUUCUUUAAAUCAUGAUACAUUUUCGUAGCUUCCCGGAUGAAUACUUAAGCUACUCUUGUGACUUUCCUCUAAAAUUAACCUUUUGAAAUCAUCAUUAUCAGGAAUACAAAUUCUUCCUCUGAACCUCAACACACCCUGAUCAUCCACCUUAAACUCACUAUCCUCAGUGCCAUUACCAGCAACCAUUAAAUCAACAAACUUCACAUCUACUAGUUGUGCUUCUCGGAUACUAUUCAAGAAAUCACUGUUAAUCUUCAGCAUCCCCAACUGUACACUCUAAGGUGUCAACUCACAGACAAGACUCAAGUCUCUAAACUGCUCUAGCAAAUCAAAUUCUUUCACCAUCGUAGCAGACAUGUGCAACGUCUUCCUACUCAACGCAUCUGCAACCACAUUAGCUUUACCUGGAUGAUAAUUCAAGCCAAAAUCAUAAUCUUUCAACAGCUCUAACCAUCUUCUCUGCCUCAUGUUCAAUUCUUUCUGAUCAAAUAAAUAUUUUAGACUUUUAUGAUCACUAAAUACUUCAAAUCUGGAACCGUACAAAUAAUGCCUCCAAAUUUUCAAAACAAAAACCACCGCAGCCAACUCCAAAUCAUGUGUAGGAUAAUUCUUUUCAUGAACUCUCAACUGCCUAGAAGCAUAAGCUACCACCUUACCAUCUUGCAUCAAAACACCACCUAAGCCCAACUUAGACGCAUCACAAUAAACAACAAAAGGUGCUUCCGGCUUCGGUAAAAUCAAAAUAGGAGCAGUUGUCAACCUUUGCUUCAACUCAUUGAAACUACUCUCACAAUGAGCAUCCCACACAAAAGACUUACCCUUACAGGUCAACUGAGUCAACGGAAGUGCUAACUUCGAAAAUACCUCAAUGAACCUGCGGUAAUAACCAGCCAAACCCAAGAAGCUUCUGAUUUCAGUCACUGACUUCGGAGUCUCCCAUUGUGAUACUACAUCAAAUUUCGAUGGGUCAACUACAAUACCACUACCAGAAAUAAUGUGGCCAAGAAAACUCACUUCAAUUAACCAGAACUCACACUUCGACAACUUAGCAUACAACUUCUUUUCUUUCAAUAUUUGCAACACAAUCUUCAGAUGCUCUGCAUGCUCUUCUUCAGUCUUAUAAUAAAUUAGAAUGUCAUCAAUAGACACAACCACGAAUUUAUUCAGGUAGGCAUGGAAAAUUCGGUUCAUAUACUCCAUGAACACACCAGGUGCAUUAGUAACACCGAAAGACAUCACCUUAUAUUCAUAUAUAUAGUGACCAUAACGUGUCCUAAAGGCCGUCUUCUGCAUAUCCUCAUCCUUCACCUUAAUUUGAUGGUAACCUGACCUCAAGUCAAUCUUACUAAACACACGUGCACCCACUAACUGAUCCAUUAAGUCAUCAAUCCUCGGAAGUGGAUACCUGUUCUUUAUCGUAACUUUGUUCAACUGACGAUAAUCAAUGCAUAACCUCAUGGUACCAUCCUUCUUCUUAACCAACAAUACUGGCGCUCCCCACGGUGAAACACUUGGUAUUACAAAUUUAUUAUCAAGCAAGUUCUCCAACUGUUUCUUCAAUUCAGCAAGUUCGGACGCCGGCAUACGAUAAGGUGCCAUCGACACCGGCUUCGUUCCUGGAACAAGGUCAAUUGAAAAUUCAACCUCCCUCUCUGGUGGCACAUCUGGAAUCUCAUCAGGAAAAACCUCAGGAAACUCAUUCACAACUGGCAACAUAUCAAUCACAGCUUGAUUCUCUAACGACAAAUAUGCCAUCAAAGAAAACAUAAGAAUUCCAUCACACUCCAACUGCUUCAACUGCUUAGUAGAUAGGAACUCCACUCCACUCUCUUCUUCCGCAGAAGAAAAAUGUAACGUCUUACUAAAGCAAUUGAUAUGGACAUGGUUAUACUCCAACCAGUUCAUACCAAGUACACAACAAACAACAACUCAGAACAACAAAAGACAACUUAAAGUUGACACUCUAUCCUAUGUGGCUCAACACGACUCUACUACUUGGCCGGACGGACCAACCUGCUCUGAUACCAAUUGUAAAACCCCGUUAUCCCAAAACAAUUAAAUAACAAUAAUACAUCAGAGUCUAAUACCAAACGGGCAUGUCACCCUGCUUUUCAAAUUUUCUUAAAUAGAAUAUAAAACUAUUUAAUAAACAUCCUUCAAAAAUAUCAUUAAUUUGCAGCGGAAUAUUUGCAUCAAAAGCAACAACAACAACUGUUUAAUUCUCCAUAAAAUAAUCUAGGCAUAAAAGCCUCAUCAAAAUAAAUCCAACAAAAUCAAGCCGAGGGCUACAUCAGCAAAUUCCAACAAUUGAUACAUAAGGAAUGAAAAACAAAUAAGAAAUUCCCAUCCCGUACGUAUCAGAGCCCUAGACACUUGAGCCACCACCUACUACUCAGGAUCACCUGCAAGUUACCCAUAGGAAGGCCAACAUUUUCAAGCAGAAGGGGUGAGAUUCACUGUAACGCCCUAGUCGUUAUUUUAUUUAUUUCUGAUUUAUUUAAAGUCUUUCAUAUGAUUUUAAAUGAUUUAUGUUGAUUUUGUGGUGUGGUGUAUUUUAUUAAAUGGCUAUUUUCAUUAUUUAAUAGAAUAAGUGAGAAUUAGGAUUUAAUUGAAGUUUUGAGGUUAAAUGAGAAUUAAUAGAAUUAAGGGGAGUUAAAAGAAAUAAGUGGGAGGUUAUAUUUUACUGAGUUAUUAGAAAAUAGAACCAAGAGUCAGAGAAACAAUUUUCACGUAGAAACAAGAGCUUUUGGGAGAAAAGGGAGAAGAGCCAAGAGAGAAAGAUGCUCGAUUUUGUAGAGCUUUGAUUCAUAAAUUAANNNNNNNNNNNNNNNNNNNNNNNNNNNNNNNNNNNNNNNNNNNNNNNNNNNNNNNNNNNNNNNNNNNNNNNNNNNNNNNNNNNNNNNNNNNNNNNNNNNNUUUUGCAAAAUAACUACUUCCACCUCACUUUUUUCCAAAUCUCAUGCCCUUGAGGCCUCUCACCUCCAUUCUUCAAAAUUCCUCUUUUCUUUUCAAACUUAAAAUCAACCAACAAAAACAAAAACAAUUUUCGAGAACGAACUACGUUUGGUUUUGAUCCCUUAAAAGGGUACGUAGGCAAUGAGUUAAAACUCCUCCAAGCCAAGUAAAAUAAAAUCCCAAUCAUCUUCUCUUCCCCCAUUCUUCACUCAAAUGAAAUUUCUCUUUUAAAUAAGUAGGCAAUAAAAAUAAAGCGUAGAAAUAAACUUAGGAGAACGGUUCUUAUGGAAUACCAUAAUCGUUCCGGGUGCCUAACACCUUCCCGUAGCGAAAGCGACCCCCGAACUUAGAAUCUAAGGGUUUUUUCUCAAUUUCGCCCUUCCCAAGAAAAAAUAGAGAAUAUCAAAGAUUGAAAGGUUCAAGCCUAAAUUAUGACUUGACACCCGAAAAUCGCGAUAACAGAAAUGGCGACUUCACUGGGGACACUUUUAGCGGGUCACGCCUAGUUUUCCUUAGUUUAUAUUUAUACUUUGUUUUAUUGCUUACAUAUGUGAACACUUGUUUAUUUUCAUUUGACGUGUGGGGUGAGAAUAUCAAAAGUCCUAUACCCGGGCUGAGUGAACUUAUGAUUAGGUAGAGAUAUAAUCGACAAUUCGAUCCGAGGGUUGCCUCGUGUAUUGGGUUAUGCGAUCAAUCUCACAUAGCUGAGGCAUUUUGGAAGUAAUAUUGUCGGCGUGUGUUGUCAUGCUUAGGCACUUUGCUUUCAAUUGUUCGACGAUGCUAUGGACCGUAGUUACCAAACCCAUCCUUGGCCUUUUUAGGACGUAGUGCGGUGGCUAAACCGAGUGUUGUCUCAAGUUUUAGUCGUCACGCGAUACUACACUCAAACUAGACCUUCUUGCGAAUAAACAUGGAACGGACGUUGUCCCGUGCUACCAUGAUAUACGUAAGAGAGGUUGCAGUUUGGGAACUUCAUUAGAACCUUGGUUACUAUUAUCCUAAGCCCUAGUUUAUCGGACACCGUGUCCACCCGUGGCCCCUCGAUUUUGAAUCUCAACCCUCCAUGUUUUCUCUGUAAUUGAAAAACAAUCAUGCAUACAUGCAUUGAUGCAUUAAAUUUUUCUCAUGCAUUCAUCGAAGGACUAGACAAAUAAAAAACUUUGUAAACAUUACAGGUAUGAAGAAGACUAAAUCCUACAAGUUCAAGGAGGUUGACUUGGUUAGUUUGAGAGAAUUGGCAAUCAAGGUUAAGAAUCAAACAGGUUUCCGACUCCGAUAUGGUGGUUUGCUUACUAUUCUCCGGACCAAUGUUGAAGAGAAGCUAGUGCACACUCUAGUGCAAUUCUAUGACCCGAGCUUCCGUUUGCUUCACUUUCCCGGAUUUCCAGUUAGUCCCUACUCUUGAGGCUUAUUCCUACUUGUUAGAUUCACCUAUAGCUGAGAAGACGCCUUUCACCGGUCCCGGGACUUCUCUUACCCAUUUGGUUAUUGCUAAAGACCUCUAUCUCAAGACUUCCGAUGUUUCCAAUCAUCUUACUACCAAGUCUCACAUCCGAGGGUUCACUUCAAAGUAUCUACUUGAGCGGGCUAAUCUCAAAACCACUUGUCAAGACACACUCGAGGCUAUUCUUGCAUUACUUAUCUAUGGGCUCAUUCUCUUUCUGAAUCUCGACAACUUUGUGGAUAUGAAUGCUAUUGAGAUCUUCCAUUCCAAGAAUUCGGUUCCUACCUUGCUAGCUGACACAUACCAUGCUAUCCAUGAUCGAACUCUCAAAGGUCGUGGGUACAUCUUUUGCUGCGUACCUCUCCAAUAUAGGUGGUUUAUUUCUCACCUUCCGAGUUCUUUCCAUGACAACUCGGAGAAUUGGUCUUACUCACAGCGGAUUAUGGCCCUCACUCCUAAUGAGGUGGUUUGGCUCACUCCCGCCGCUCAGGUUAAGGAAAUUAUUACCGGUUGUGGGGAUUUUCUCAAUGUACCUCUUCUUGGUACCCGUGGAGGAAUCAACUACAAUCCUGAACUUGCCAUGAGACAGUUUGGGUUCCCAAUGAAGGCAAAACCCAUCAAUCUUGCUACAUCUACGGAAUUCUUCUACUAUUCGAAUGCCCCCACCGGACAAAGGGAGGCUUUCAUAGACGCUUGGUCCAAAGUCCGUAGGAAGAGUGUGAAACAUUUGGGUGUGAGAUCCGGUAUUGCUCAUGAGGCCUAUACUCAGUGGGUAAUAGAUCGAGCCGAGGAGAUUGGUAUGCCUUACCCUGCUAUGAGACAUGUGUCUGCAUCUGCUCCAUCUAUACCUUUACUUCUACCUCCCACAACUCAGGAGAUGUAUCAGGAGCAUCUAGCCAUGGAGAGUCGUGAGAAGCAGAUGUGGAAAGCCCGAUACAAUGAAGCUGAGAAUCUAAUCAUGACUUUGGAUGGCAAGGAUGAGCAGAAGACUCAUGAAAACCUGAUGUUGAGAAAGGAGUUGGCUAAGGUCCGAAGGGAACUUGAAGAAAAAGAUGAGUUGCUUAUGCGGGACUCCAAGAGAGCUAGAGGACGACGUGACUUCUAUGCUAGAUACUGCGGUUCAGAUUCAAAGUCCGAGUCUGAGGAUCAUCCCACCACUUCUUAUGCUUGAGAGUUUUAUUUGCCUGUAUUGUUAAAAUUUCAAAGUCUUCCCUUGGCUUAGUACUUCAAAGGGAUUUACCUUAGAAAGAUUCCGUUUAGUUUUGUUUGUUUACAAAGUUCAUAAUUUGUCUAAAAACCCCUCGAUGACAAAAAAAGCUUUUUUUUGCAUCUGCAUUUGUACAUAUCAUGCAUCAUACGCAUCAUUCAUCAGUCACCAAAAGGUUUCCAAGUGCUCACUGCCUCCUGGUUCUUCUGCCACAGUUUGAAUGGUGGCUCGUGCUCGGAAAGUCUACGAACCUGACAGAAUACAUCGGACUAGAUUAUACAGAAAGAAGAAUUUGGUAGUUAUGGAAGAAGAAAAUAGCUCAGCUCUGUACCGAGUUAGCUUCUUUGAGGGAAGAAUUGGCUAAAGCCAAUGAUACCAUGACUGCUCUGCUAGCCGCCCAGGAACAAUCAGCUACAGCUAUCCCUGUAGCCACAGCUAUCCCUAUAGCUACAAGUGUGAUCCCAACUACAUCUACUGAUGCUCGCUUCGUUAUGCCAACUGGGUUUCCUUAUGGACUUCCACCGUUUUUCACUCCUAGUACUGCAGCAGGCACUUCUGGUACUGCUAACAAUGGCCCGAUUCCUGGGACGAACACUGUCUCCAUCAAUACUACCUUGCCUCAGACAACAGCAACUGUCACUGAGCCUCUUGUGCAUGCCAUAUCUCAAGGUGUUAACAUCAACGCGCAUCACGGAAGCAUCCCCGUGAUUAAAACCAUGGAAGAAAGGAUGGAGGAACUUGCUAAAGAACUCCGUCAUGAAAUCAAAGCUAACCGAGGGAACGGGGACUCUGUUAAGACUCAUGAUCUCUGCUUGGUACCAAAGGUGGACGUCCCCAAGAAGUUCAAAGUCCCAGAGUUCGACCGAUACAAUGGGCUGACUUGUCCCCAGAACCACAUUAUCAAGUAUGUCCGAAAGAUGGGUAACUACAAAGACAAUGAUUCGCUCAUGAUUCACUGCUUCCAAGAUAGCUUAAUGGAAGACGCUGCAGAAUGGUAUACUAGCUUGAGCAAAGAUGACGUUCAUACCUUUGAUGAAUUAGCCGCUGCUUUCAAAAGCCACUAUGGGUUUAAUACCAGGUUGAAACCAAACAGGGAAUUCCUCAGAUCCCUUUCCCAAAAGAAAGAUGAAAGCUUCCGCGAGUAUGCACAGAGAUGGAGGGGGGGCAGCUGUCCGCAUCACUCCCGCUCUUGAUGAAGAAGAGAUGACUCAGACAUUCCUGAAGACUCUGAAAAAGGAUUAUGUCGAAAGAAUGAUCAUUGCUGCUCCAAAUAACUUCUCUGAGAUGGUCACCAUGGGGACUCGCCUAGAAGAAGCUGUCAGAGAAGGCAUUAUUGUGUUCGAGAAAGUUGAAUCCUCCGCAAAUGCAUCAAAGAGGUACGGUAACGGUCAUCAUAAGAAGAAAGAAACAGAAGUAGGGAUGGUAUCUGCCGGAGCCGGUCAAUCCAUGGCUACUGUUGCCCCUAUUAAUGCUGCCCAGUUACCUCCGUCGUACCCAUAUGCGCCAUACUCUCAGCAUCCCUUCUUUCCAUCAUUCUAUCAUCAGUAUCCUUUGCCAUCGGGUCAACCUCAGGUACCCGUUAAUGCCGUCGUUCAGCAAAUGCAACAACAGCAGCAACAAGCUAGACCUACCUUUCCCCCGAUACCAAUGUUGUAUGCUGAGUUACUCCCGACUCUACUUCUCAGAGGGCACUGCACAACCAGACAGGGCAAGCCUCCACCUGAUCCGUUGCCUCCCAGGUUCCGUUCUGACCUCAAGUGUGAUUUCCAUCAAGGUGCUCUGGGUCAUGAUGUCGAAGGAUGCUACGCUUUGAAGUACAUUGUGAAGAAGCUCAUUGAUCAAGGAAAUUAACUUUUGAGAACAAUGUCCCUCAUGUCCUCGACAAUCCUCUUCCGAAUCACGCUGCUGUAAACAUGAUUGAGGUAUAUGAAGAAGCUCCCAGACUCGAUGUUCGUAACUGUAACGCCCUCUCUAAUUAUUUGAAUAUUUUUAAUGAGUUUAGAAUACACUUAUAUGAUUUGUAUAAUUUAUAGGAUUUAUUUUGAUGAGUGAUAUUUUGUUAUGAUAUAUGUUGGUAUUUAUUAGUAUAACAUAUAUGUUAUUUGGUUUAGAAAUAUAAAUGUUAUUUGAUUUAAAAAUAUAAAUGUUAUUUGAUUUAGAAAUAUAUAUGUUAUUUGAUUUAGAAAUAUAUAUAUGUUAUUUGGUUUAGAAAUAAAUGUUAUUUGUUGUAGAAAUACACAUGAUUUGUUAUAGAAAUAAAUGUUAUUUGGUGUAGAAAUACACAUGAUUUGUUGUAGAAAUAUAUGUUAAUUUGUGUAGAGAUAUAUGUUAUUUUGUGUAGAAAUAUAUGUUAUCUGGUGUAGAAAUAUAUUUCUUAUUUGGUGUAGAAAUAUAUAUAUGUUAUAGAAAUAUAUUUGUUAUAGAGAUAUAAUUGUUAUUUGUUGUAUAAAUAUUUUAUAUAUAUAUUAGAAUAGAAUAUUGAGAUUUUGGUAGGCAAUCUAAUAUAUUUUUGUACUGAAUAAUAUAUUUUGUACUUAAUAUAAUAUAUUUUGGUACUCAAUUGAUAUAUUUAAUUACUAGAUCUAAUAGGUGCAUUACUUGUUUCCAAAGUUUCUCACUUAUUAGUUGUAAAUUAUCUCUAUAAAUAGAGAACUCACACAGUGCAUUCUACACACCGAAAUUCACAGUUGAUACUUCCUGUGCUUUUCUUCUCUUCUCCCUCUUUUGACUUGUGUUGACGAGUCUUUCUUCUUUUUCUACUCCUUUCUGUCCCUUCGGAAUUAAAAGUGUUCUUAAGACUAUAAUCUCUCUUCGGUUUAAUAUCCUUUUAGAUAAGAGAAAGCAGUAGAGUCCUUCGUCGAUCAAUCCAAAGGUAAGGGUGAGACUAACUUUGCAAUUUUAUUAAGUAUGUGAAUCAAUGGUUAGGUUUAACAUGAUGUAGGAUGAGUUUUUGAGGAAUUGAAAAGUAGGUUAAAAUUGUAGAAUUAAUGAAUAAACGGUGGAAACUUGUUAAAAAGAUGUAGAAACUGUCCUUAGACCUUAGAUAAUGAUUAAGAUGAUUUGAUGAUAUUUAUAAUGUUAUAUAAUUAGAUAUAUAUUGCAUGAAUUAUGUUUAAUGAUUGAGAUGUAGAUGACGUGCAUUUGUAAUUGUUAUAUAUGAUGAUUAUCAUUAUCGAUUGAUGCUUUUUUGUUGUUAUGAUGAAUAUGAUUUACUUUGAUGAUAUGAUUAAUGAGAGAAUAUUAUAUACUAUGAAUUAAUGAUUAAAUGCANNNNNNNNNNNNNNNNNNNNNNNNNNNNNNNNNNNNNNNNNNNNNNNNNNNNNNNNNNNNNNNNNNNNNNNNNNNNNNNNNNNNNNNNNNNNNNNNNNNNAAAAUACAACAAGUUGUUAACCAAUGCCUAAACAUCGUGAGUAACCAAAUAAGCUGAAAGAAAAGAUCUCCUUGAUUUCAAACCACCUGUGUAAAAUGCAAAAUGAGCCCCAUGAUUUGAUAUAUCACAAUGAUCGACACCAUCAAAGCCUAUCCAAGACCUCACCAAAAACCAUAAAGAACCAAAGAAACUACAAGACAAAAAUAAAUGUCGUGCAUCUUCCACAAAACCAGAACUUGUCACACAUAAGCAUGCCUUUGAAUUCAAGAUACCACGAAAUGCUAAAUUAGACAUUGUAGGAAGUCUAUCUCGAAUCAACCUCCAAGCAAAAAUAGACACCUUGAGGGGAACAUGUUUGUGCCAAACCAAUUCUUCGCAAAGACCAUCCUGCUGCACUUCCUGAUUAAUAAGCAUAGCAUAUACCCCGCUGACUGUGUAACCUUGGCUAGGGUCCGGUUGCCACUGCCACACAUCAUAGGAAAGAGGCUACAAAGAAACAUUAGCAAGUAAUAACCUACACUCUGCUAGGAGCUCCUCCUCCCACACCCACAAUCUCCUACGCCACUGCCAUCCCCCUCCCUCCCUCCCCCCAUCCUAAAGAAAACAUCUCUUUAACAGUAAUGGAUUUAUUUAAAGCUAAAUCAAAUAACCUUCUAAAACGAAUCCGGAAAGGGACACCACCACACCACCUCUCAUGCCAAAACAAGGUAUCCUCCCCAUCACCCACACACCUAACCACACAACCCUCAAACCAACUAACACCACCCCCACCCUCCCCUUCUCUAAUCCUACUAACCUCUUACUUAGAAUGUAAGAAAUGCUUGAAUUGGUAAAACUAUAUGAGAUAAUUGAUGUGAAUGACAUUGUUGAUUAUUGAUGAUCAUGUUGUGAUAAUGAAUCUUAUGAUUUGAUUGUGUAUGGACAUGUUUUCUUGAUAAAGCAAAUGAUGUGGAGAUGAACAAUAUAAUUGGGUGUUGUCCUAUAUAUUGUGGUGAAAAUUGUGAAUUGAUGUCGCAUUAUCGAGUCUUGUUACAUGUCCAUGCAUCAUAGUCAUGUUGAGAUUUUAUAUGAUGUUUUUGUUGCAUCAUUGGGCUCUGGCCUAGCAGAGAUCAUUUAGUGGUCUAGUUUUGUGGACUUCGGUCUUGCAGAGAUCCAUUAGUGAUCUAGAUUGUGGGCUUUGUAACGCCCUCUUUAAUUAUUUGAUUAUUUUAAUGAGUUUAGAAUAUACUUAUAUGAUUUGUGUGAUUUAUAUGAUUUAUUUUGAUGACUGAUAUUUUGUUAUGUUAUAUGUUGGUAUUUAUUAGUAUAAUAUAUAUGCUAUUUGAUUUAGAAAUAUAUAUGUUAUUUUAUUUAGAAAUAUAUAUGCUAUUUGAUUUAGAAAUAUAUAUGUUAUUUGGUUUAGAAAUAUAUAUGCUAUUUGAUUUAGAAAUAUAUAUGUUUAUUUGGUUUAGAAAUAUAUGUUAUUUGUUGUAGAAAUAUAUAUAUAAUUUGUUUUAGAGAUAUAUUGUUAUUUGUUAUUUGUUAUAGAAAUAUAUUAGAAUAGAAUAUUAAGAUUUAGAUAUAGGAGAAAAAUAAGUAGGUUAAGGAUUUUUAUAAAUAGGAGAGACCUAGUUUAGAAAAAUAACAUAAUGUACGACUGUUUUUGGAGAAAAGGGAGAAAAAGCCAAGAGAAGAGGGAGAAGACCUAGAGGCUGCGAUUUUCAUUCUUUAAGGUAAGGGUGAGACUAGCAUACAAUUCUAUUAAUUAUGUAAUUCAAUUGGUUGUAAUUAACAAGUUGUAGGAUUGGAUUAGAGAAGUUGGAAAACUAGGGUUAAUGAGAGAGAAUUGAUGAUUAAAUGGUGAAAACUUGUUAAAAAGAUGUAGAAACUGUCCUUAGACCUUAGAUAAUGAUUAAGAUGAAUUAUGGAGUUGAGAUUAGGCUUUAAACCAUGAGAGUUGAUGAUUUUUAGGCAAAACUGCACUUCUGCCCGUAGCGACAUUCAUCGCUCGCCUCCCGAGCUAUGAUCCUCGCCACGGUGAGGGAUGAACUUCAUCGCUCGCCACGCGAGCAACCUUUCCUCGCCUCGCGAGUUGCACGUUGCAGCUCGCCAUAGCGAGCAGUUGAACUCGCCUCGCGAGCUUGACCAGAGAGCAUGCAAGAUUUCGUGAUUUUUGACUUUUGAGUUUAACCUUAGAUGCCCUUGAGUGCCUGAACAUGUCUAAUAUUGAUUAGGAAAGAAUUUAGGAUGAGAUUGAACCUAGAAAGACUUAGAAUGAAACUUUGGAUAAUCUGACUGAACUCGCCAUGGCGAGCAGAGGCUCUCGCCUCGCGAGCACUUGUGUUACAGAAUGUCAUGUUUAGGUUAAAUGCGAUCCUUGUAGUACGAGUUGUUAUGAGUUGAACCUUGGGAUAGUAAUGAGGAAUAUGUAUGAUAUUAAUGACGAUCUGUGAAGUUGUUAUACGAUGAUUUGAUGAUAUUUAUAAUGUUAUAUAAUUGGAUAUAUAUAUUGCAUGAAAUUAUGUUUGAUGAUUGAGAUGUUGAUGACGUGCAUUUGUAAUUGUUAUAUAUGAUGAUUAUUAUUAUCGAAUGAUGCGGUUUUGUUGUUGUGAUGAAUAUGAUUUACUUUGAUGAUUAUUGAGAGAAUAUUAUAUAUUGUGGAUGAUGAUGAUAUGAAGUUGUAAUGAUUGUAUUUGAUGAUUAUUGUUGAUGUUGACUUGCUGUAAAUUAUUUGAUGUUGUUGCCUUGCUGAUGUGAUGUAUUAAUAUCAUUAAGAUGCUAAUGUUGGUUUAAGUCAUAUGAGAUGUUUAAGUUGUAAGAAAUGUUUCAAAUUAUUGGAUGUAUAUGAGAUGAUGAUUAAGAUGUUUAGAUGAUAGAGUCCUUGCAUUAGCAUACAUUUGUUGGGGGCUCAUGCCCUGGAGCUUUGUCAUCACCACGAUUUGAGCUUUGUCCUCACCACGAUGCCCUAAAAGUAUAUUAAUACUAUGAUGUUUGGGGCUCAUGCCCUGAAUUGGUACCACAUGCAUAUAAGUAGGUUUUGGUUGCAUUGUUGCAUUUGUCGAGUCAAAGUCAUUGUUGAUGAAUUAUCAUCCAUGAGUUGUUAAGUUGUUAAUGAAUUAUCAUCUACGAGUUGCUGAGUUGUAUUCUACCCAUGUGUUGUUAAAGAAGUACCUAUGAAGAUUAUACGAUGUUCAUGACGUUGUCAAGUUGCUAUGACGAUUGCUAUGUUGUUUAUGAUAUUGAUUGUGAUGUUGUUAUGUGAUGUUGUUAUAUGAUGUUGUUGUUAUAUUAUUACAUGAUGAUGAAUAUGUUGUUGUUAUAUUAUUAUAUGAUGAUGAAUAUGUUGUUGUUAUAUUACUAUAAGAUGAUGUUUAUGUUGUGAUGUACAUAAUUAUUAUUAUUAAGUGAUGAUUAUAUUGUGUUGUUUAAGUUAUUAGUGAUGAUGAAUACAUGAUGUUAUCUAUGAGUUGUUAAAUGUACUUGAUGAUGGUUAUGUUAAGUUGAUAAGUUGUCUUUUAUUCAUGAAUUGAUAAUGUGAUGUUUGAUGAAUAAUUAUUAUUAUGAAUUGAUGAUGUUACGUAUAGUUGUUAAGUUGUCUCCUAUUCAUGAGUUGCUAAUGAGAUGCUUGGUGGAGAAAUGUUAUUACGAAUUAAUGAUGUUGUUAUGUUGUAUAUGAAUUAGGAUUAAGAUGUUGUUAUGUUGUAUAUGAAUUAUGAUUAAGAUGUUGUUAUGUUGUAUGUGAACUAUGAUUAUGAUGUGAUGAUCUAUGUUGGUUAUGAUUUGGUUAUUAUGUGUUAUAUGAUGAUGUUUAUAAUGUGAUGAAUAUGAAGUAAAUGAUAAUUAGAAAUUGGUUGAACUAUUAAGAAUUAUUACAUGAAGAAUUAUUAUUACUAAUAGAUGAAGUUAUUUAUGUUGUUAAAUAUAAUUAUUGAAUUAUAUGCUUGAUAUUAUUGUUUUGUGAAAUCUCACCCCUUCUGCUUGGAAAUGUUGCUCUUCGUAUGAGUAACUUGCAUGUAAUCAAGUUUAGCUGUGAAGUGAGUCGAUUCUCUCACGUGUGUCUUUAGGUGCUCUGAUACGUAACGGGAUGGGAACUUUGUUAUUGCUUUUCUAUUCCUUACGUAUUGUUUUUGAAGAUGUAUGACUAUGUUUUUAGAUUGGAUUUUUAUGAGACAUUUAUGAAGAGGCCUUCGUGCCAAAGACUGUUUUAGUUAUUGAAUAAAUUUCGCUGCGAAGUAUUAAAGAUUUUGUUAUUGAAUUUUAAAGGAUAAAUAGUUAUUUAUUCAGUUUAUGACUUUAAGAAAAGAAAUGUGACAUUCCGUUUAUGUGAAUACUCUGAUUAUUUUUAUGAAAUUUUUAAUGCUGGGAAAACGGGGUGUUACAGGCUUCGGCCUUGCAGAGACCUUUGAUGGUCUAGAUAUAGGUGACGACCUUGAGGUGAAUGGUACCACAUGCAUAUAUGUGUCGGGCUAGGUAUACAUCAUGCAUGAGUCUUAUUGGUGAAAUGUGAAUGAUGAUUGUGUAUGAAUAAAUGUGAUUUGAUGAUUAUUCAUGAUACACGUGACUGGCGAUUAAUUGAGGAGAAGUGUUUGAAUUAUGGUAUGAAUACAUAUGUUGAUAUUAUUGUGAUUAAGUAUAUGUAGUUUUUGUAACACCCCCGUUUUCCGUAACUUAAAAAUUUUCAUAAACAUUUAUCAGAGUAACAACAGAUAACAGGAUAUCACACUUAAAAAUCAUAAAACAGAUAAUUAACUAAUUAUCCUUCAACAUAAAUCAUCAACGUAAUAGCAGCGGAAUUAAUUCAACAUCAUGAAAAGUCUUGGCACGUGUUAUACCCUGAUUUUGGACCUAAAAAUACUCGUUCAAACUUCUUUUAACACUGAUAUUUGUUCAAUUCGCUGUUGUUUUUUCUUCUGAAUCUUUACUCUCUUUUUAAACGAAUUUUACUGCCUCUGUCUUUUCUGACAUUCCAAGUCAUUUAAGAACUCUCUGAAACGUCGCGUUACUUUUUCUUGCAUGUUAUUUCAAAAAUCAUACAAAAGGGUAUUUUGGUCAUUUCCUGUAGUGGAACCCCAUUUUAGUCCCUGUGUUUGCCUCUGAGUCUUUUCAAUUUGUCUGUACGAAUCAUUGUUGAGUCUUUGUUUAAAAAUUAUUUCAAAAAUUGCAUCUGAGUCAGUUUGGGUCAGUUUAGUCCCUAGGAGCAUUUUGGUCUUUUCAUGUCAAAAUUUCGGCAAGGAGGUAUUUUAAAAUACCUCAUGUCAGUAAUUGGUUCAUUUUAGUCCUUUUGUUGAUUUUAUUUUUGGUUUCACUUUACGUUUUUUUCAAAUUGCCAAUUUUAGUCCAAUUUUACUUUUAAUUUCAUUUUAGUCCCUGAACAGUUUCUAAAUUGCAUUUUAGUCCAAAAUUCUUAAAAUUACUCUUUCAGUCCAUUUUUUAUUAUUGCAGUUUAGUCCUUCUAAUUUUUUCUUUUUUGCAGAAAGGUCCCUAAGUCAAAAUUUCAGUCCAAGGCUGUGCCAUUUUCAUACAAGUCCAGAUGUCACCACCUCAUUGGUCCAAGAUCACACAUGGCAGCCUAUAAAAGGUGCACAGUGCCACACAGAGCCAUUAAUCACACGCCACAUCAUAAACACUUCCCAACUUUCUCUUUCUACUCUCAAAGAUCAAAACUCAACAGUUUCCAGAAAUAACGAAGAACACCAAGAACAUUCAAACCCUAACCGUUUCAAAAUUCUAUCAAGAUCAUCGCAAAUCAACACAGAUUCAACCGGAUUCAUCACGGUUCUCAGUGAUUCACCAAAGAAUCAUCAUCAUCGAACCAGAUCCUCUGCAAUUCAAGGUGCGAGUUCGCCAUUAGCAAGCUCAAGCACCGAUCACAGAGGUCAGUGAGAAGAAGAAGGAAAGAAGACGAAGGAAUCCGAACCAGUGAGAAGAGGAGCAUCACCGAUUUAUUUUCGGUUUCAAAGCCAGAAAUCAAACAGGCAAAAGUCAAAUCCAAGUGUUUCCGAAGAAACUCAACAGAAUCUCCAUUAAAACUCAGGUAAAACUCAUUUUUUCUCUUUAAUGGCGUUAAUCAUAGUUGAACCUGCAUGCAAACGAACAAACCAGAUCUAAAAAGUUUCCAGAACAGAAAACGAACUGAACCGUAUGCGCAAGAUCUAGAUCCAUAAGGACCUAGGCUUUGCAAGCAAGAACAAGCACCAGAGAAGUAACAAACACGAAACGAUGUAGAUCCUUAAGAGUUUGAACGUACUCAUUCAAAAACCCUAAAAAAAAAAAAAAUAAACAAACCGUAAUGAAAUUACUNNNNNNNNNNNNNNNNNNNNNNNNNNNNNNNNNNNNNNNNNNNNNNNNNNNNNNNNNNNNNNNNNNNNNNNNNNNNNNNNNNNNNNNNNNNNNNNNNNNNCGUGAGAAACAAAUGUGGAAAGCCCGAUACAAUGAGGCUGAGAAUCUAAUCAUGACUUUGGAUGGUAAGGAUGAGCAGAAGACUCAUGAGAACUUGAUGUUGAAGAAGGAAUUGGUUAAGGUCCGAAGGGAACUUGAAGAAAAGGAUGAGCUACUUAUGCGGGACUCCAAGAGAGCUAGAGGACGACGCAACUUCUAUGCUAGAUAUUGCGGUUCGGAUUCGGAGUCUGAGUCUGAGGAUCAUCCCACCACUUCCUAUGCUUGAGAGUUUUAUUUGUUUAUAUUUCAAAAGUCUUCCCUUGGCUUAGUAUUUCAAAGGGAUUCAUCUUGUAAACGCUUCGUUUUGUCUUUGUUUGUUUAGAUAUUGUUUACAAAACUUCUAAUUUGUCUAAAAAUCCUUCGAUGUCCAAAAACAACUUUUGCAUUUGCAUUUGUACAUAUCAUGCAUCAUUCAUCAAGCCACAAAAAGUUUACAAGUGCUCACUGCCUCCUGGUUCUUCUGCCACAGAGUUUGAAAGGUGGCUCGUGCUCGGAAAGUUUACGAACCAGACAGAAUACACCGGACAAGACUCUACAGAAAGAAGAAUUCGGCAGCCAUGGAAGAAGAGAACGCUCAGCUCCGUACCGAGUUAGCCACUCUAAGGGAAGAAUUGGCUAAAGCUAACGAUGUCAUGACUGCUCUGCUAGCCGCUCAAGAACAAUCAGCCGCGGCUAUCCCUAUAGCCACAGCUAUACCGGUGACUACAAGCAUGCUCCCAACCGCAUCUGCAGACGCUCGCUUUGCUAUGCCAGCUGGGUUUCCGUAUGGGCUUCCACCGUUCUUCACUCCCAGUACUGCAGCGGGCACUUCGGGCACUGCUAACAAUGUUCUGAUCCCUGCAACAAAUGCUGCCUCCAUCAAUGCUACUUUGCCACAAACAACGGCAGCUGUCACCGAGCCUCUUGUGCAUACCAUGCCCCAAGGUGUUAACAUCAACACACAGCACGGAAGCAUCCCCGUAACCAAAACCAUGGAAGAGAUGAUGGAGGAACUUGCUAAAGAACUCCGUCAUGAGAUCAAAGCCAAUCGAGGGAAUGCGGACUCUUUCUAAACUCAAGAUCUCUGCUUGGUGUCAAAGGUGGAUGUCCCUAAGAAGUUCAAAAUCCCGGACUUCGACCGAUACAACGGGCUAACUUGUCCCCAGAACCACAUCAUCAAGUACGUCCGAAAGAUGGGCAAUUACAAAGACAAUGAUUCCCUUAUGAUCCACUGCUUUCAGGAUAGUUUGAUGGAAGAUGCUGCAGAGUGGUAUACUAGUUUGAGCAAAAAUGACAUCCAUACCUUUGAUGAAUUAGCCGCUGCUUUCAAGAGCCACUAUGGGUUUAACACCCGAUUGAAGCCGAACAGGAAAUUCCUCAGAUCUCUCUCCCAGAAGAAGGAGGAAAGCUUCCGUGAAUACGCACAGAGAUGGAGGGGGGCAGCUGCUCGCAUUACUCCCGCUCUUGAUGAAGAAGAAAUGACCCAGACAUUCUUAAAGACCUUGAAGAAGGAUUAUGUUGAGAGAAUGAUCAUUGCUGCCCCGAAUAACUUUUCGGAGAUGGUCACCAUGGGAACUCGUCUGGAAGAAGCCGUCAGGGAUGGAAUCAUUGUGUUCGAGAAAGCCGAAUCCUCUGUGAAUGCAUCGAGGAGGUAUGGUAAUGGACACCACAAGAAGAAAGAAACGGAAAUAGGGAUGGUGUCAGCUGGAGCCGGUCAAUCCAUGGCUACUGUUGCUCCUAUCAAUGCAGCCCAAAUGCCUCCGUCAUACCCAUAUGCGCCGUAUUCUCAGCAUCCCUUCUUUCCGCCAUUUUAUCAUCAGUACCCUCUGCCACCGGGUCAACCUCAAGUACCCGUUAAUGCAAUCGCUCAACAGAUGAAACAACAGUUGCCAGUUCAACAACAACAACAAAAUCAGCAAGCUAGACCUACUUUCCUCCUAUACCAAUGUUGUAUGCAGAACUUCUUCCAACCUUACUCCAGAGAGGUCAUUGUACAACUAGACAGGGCAAGCCACCACCUGAUCCGUUGCCUCCAAGGUUCAGGUCUGAUCUUAAAUGUGACUUUCAUCAAGGUGCCUUAGGUCAUGAUGUCGAGGGGUGUUAUGCUUUGAAGUAUAUCGUGAAGAAGCUCAUUGAUCAGGGAAAGCUGACUUUUGAGAAUAAUGUCCCACACGUCCUCGACAAUCCUCUUCCAAAUCAUGCCGCUGUAAAUAUGAUCGAAGUAUGUGAGGAAGCUCCUAGACUUGAUGUCCGUAACGUCGUAACUCCUCUGGUGCCUCUACACAUCAAGCUGUGCAAAGCUUCUCUGUUUAGCCAUGAUCAUGCCAAGUGCCUAGGAUGCCUUCGUAAUCCUUUGGGUUGCUAUACUGUUCAAGAAGACAUCCAAAGCUUGAUGAAUGAUAAUUUUUUUGACUGUCAGUGAUGUCUGCGUGAUUGUGCCAGUUUUUCACGAUCCGCCUGUCAAGAGUAUACCUUUGAAGGAGAAUGCUGAGCCACUGGUGAUAAGGUUGCCCGGACCGGUACCGUAUACUUCAGAUAGGGCUAUCCCGUACAAAUAUAAUGCUACCAUAAUUGAAAACGGAGUAGAAGUGCCUCUGGUGUCUUUGGCUGUGAUGAACAAUACCGCCGAAGGAACUUCAGCAGCCCUUAGAAGCGGAAGAGUCCGUCCACCGUUGUUUCAAAAGAAGGCAGCUACGCCUACCGUGCCACCCAUUGACAAGCCAACCCCGACUGAUGUUUCUCCCGUUAACAGAGACGCGAGCCAACCAAGCCGGUCUAUAGAGGAUUCUAAUCUGGACGAGAUUUUGAGGUUGAUCAAAAGAAGUGAUUAUAAGAUUGUGGAUCAGCUGCUGCAAACUCCGUCGAAGAUAUCCAUUUUGUCUCUACUCCUGAGUUCCGCUGCCCACAGAGAUACCCUUUAGAAAGUAUUGGAGCAAGCUUAUGUGGAUCAUGAAGUAACUGUGGAUCAGUUUGGUAGCAUAGUGGGGAACAUUACCGCCUGCAGCAACCUGUGGUUCAGUGAAGAUGAAUUGCCCGAAGCAGGAAAGCAUCAUAAUCUGGCCUUGCAUAUCUCCGUGAAUUGCAAGUCCGAUAUGCUAUCAAAUGUGUUAGUAGACACUGGCUCGUCCUUGAACGUGAUGCCCAAGUCAACGCUGGAUCAGCUGAGUUACCGGGGAACUCCUUUGAGGAGGAGCACUUUUCUGGUCAAAGCUUUUGAUGGAACCCGCAAGAGCGUUCUCGGGGAGAUAGACUUGCCAAUAACUAUCGGCCCCGAAACCUUUCUAAUCACCUUUCAGGUCAUGGACAUUAAUGCCUCUUACAGCUGUCUCUUGGGGAGACCAUGGAUACACGACGCGGGAGCAGUGACCUCUACUUUGCACCAAAAGUUGAAAUUUGCAAAAAGUGGAAAGCUUGUUACCAUUCAUGGAGAGGAAGCAUACCUGGUUAGCCAGCUAUCAUCUUUCUCUUGCAUAGAGGCAGGGUCUGCAGAGGGGACCGCUUUUCAAGGAUUAACUGUCGAAGGUACGGAGCCUAAGAGGGAUGGAACUGCCAUGGCUUCUUUGAAGGAUGCACAGAGAGCCGUCCAAGAAGGUCAAGCUGCCGGCUGGGGCAAGUUAAUACAGCUUCGUGAGAGCAAGCAUAAGGAAGGUCUUGGCUUUUCCCCAACUUCAGGAGUUUCCACCGGGCAUUCUAUAGUGCUGGGUUUGUCAACGCAAUCACAGAAGAAGCAACUGGAUUUGGCCCGAGGCCUGUAUUUGUUAUACCAGGAGGCAUUGCGAGAGAUUGGGAUGCCAUUGACAUUCCCUCAAUCAUGCAUGUUUCUGAGUAAUAUACCUUGUUGCUUAAGUAUCUUGUUUUUUUUUCAAAAUAACAAUCCUCUCGCUCUGCCCAAAGCGAGAGUGAUAUUUUCUGUAAGGGCAUGUUUGUUUCGGCAUUGCCGUUGAUUAAUAAAAAUUUUGUCGUUUCUUCCACGACUGCUUCUUUUUUUUAGUGCCUUUUUUCCUUGGAAAUAAUGGUAAUGCCAGAAAAAAAACAAAAACAUCUGUAUUUUCUUAUUAAUUUCAAAAAUCUGCAUAAAAACCCUCUUUCUAAAAUCAUCCAACCAUUUUACGCAGAUUGAACUAUAAUAAACCCGUUGGGCACAGUAAUCCUGCAUUCUCUCCGAAUUUUGAGUUUCCAGUGUAUGAAGCCGAAGAUGAGGAAGGUGAUGACAUACCAUAUGAGAUCACUCGGCUACUUGGGCAAGAAAAGAAAGCCAUUCAGCCUCACCAGGAAGAGAUUGAACUUAUCAACAUAGGUACCGAGGAGAACAAGGCGAGAAAUCAAGGUCGGUGCUGCUCUAGAGGAAGGGGUUAAAAAGAAGAUCAUCCAGCUCCUCCGAGAAUACCCGGAUAUUUUUGCAUGGUCGUAUGAAGAUAUGCCAGGUCUAGAUCCUAAGAUUGUGGAACAUCGGAUCCCCACGAAGCCUGAAUGUUCUCCCGUCAGGCAGAAAUUGAGAAGGACUCAUCCAAAUAUGGCUCUCAAGAUUAAGAGCGAGGUUCAAAAACAGAUUGAUGCGGGUUUCCUCAUGACAGUUGAGUACCCUGAAUGGGUUGCCAAUAUUGUACCUGUGCCAAAGAAGGAUGGUAAAGUCUGAAUGUGUGUUGACUUCAGAGACCUGAACAAAGCUAGUCCAAAAGACAACUUCCAUUACCUCAUAUUGAUGUGCUUGUUGAUAAUACUGCUCAGUCUAAGGUGUUCUCCUUCAUGGAUGGUUUCUCCGGUUACAAUCAGAUCAAAAUGUCUCCUGAAGAUAGAGAAAAGACGUCUUUUAUCACUCCAUGGGGUACUUUCUACUACAAAGUGAUGUCGUUCGGCCUAAUAAAUGCUGGUGCUACCUACCAAAGAGGGAUGACUACUCUAUUUCAUGACAUGAUUCACAAAGAAGUCGAAGUAUAUGUGGAUGAUAUGAUUGUGAAGUCAAAAGAUGCGGAGCAACAUGUCGAAUACUUGACAAAAAAUGUUCGAAAGGUUGAGAAAGUACAAGCUUCGAUUGAACCCUAACAAAUGUACGUUCGACGUCAGAUCCGGGAAGUUAUUAGGCUUCAUUGUCAGCCAAAAGGGCAUUGAAGUCGACCCUGAUAAAGUCCGGGCCAUUCGAGAAAUGCCAGCCCCGCAGGACGAGAAACAAGUCAGAGGUUUCCUCGGGGCGUUUGAAUUACAUCUCCCGACUUCUAUAUCUCACAUGACCGCGAACCUACGCGGGCCGGACGUCUUCUAAGUUAACUNNNNNNNNNNNNNNNNNNNNNNNNNNNNNNNNNNNNNNNNNNNNNNNNNNNNNNNNNNNNNNNNNNNNNNNNNNNNNNNNNNNNNNNNNNNNNNNNNNNNUGUUUCAUCGUGGCGCUGGCGCGCUCAACAAGAUCCCAUAAAAUUUGGCAACGCGGCCAGUCUAUAACGGGCCGUCGUUAACAACAGUGAUUUAUGUGGUGUGUAUUAUUUUAUUAUAUGAUUUAUUUUAAUAUAAUUAGAAUAAUAUGAGAAAUAGAAUUAUUUUGGAGUGUGGGAGUUAAUUAGGAUUUAAUAAAAAAUUAAGGGAGUUUAAUGAAAUAAAGGAGGAGUUAUAGUUUUGGGAGUUAGGAAAAGAAAUGGUUAGAAGCAGUUUUACGUGAAACAAGUUUUGGGAGAAAAGAACCAAGAACAAGGGGAGAGAAGAACAAGUAGAGCCAAGAUCACCCGUGUGUCGUGCGAUUUCCUGAAAUAAGGUAAGGGUGAGACUAUCUCUCGAUAAUCAUAGUAUAUAAUUUCUGAAAAUUGUUUUAACAUGAAUUGUUCUUGAGAAUAAAAAUUGGGAAUUAGGGUUGAUGCUGAUUUUGAAAGGAAUGGUGUAAGAAUUAUGUUUAAUGUGUUGUAAUUUGAUGUUCAGAAUGAUUUCUUAAUCUAUAAUGUUGCUGUGAUCAGAAUUGGAAUGAAAUUAGAAUCUGUUGGAUAAAUUGGAGAAGUUUUGUGUGAUUGUUAGAAUGAUCUGAAUUGUUGUUGUUAAUGCUUGUUUUGUGUUCCUUUAGAUGCCUAGUUGUGUAUUGAACCUGUAAAUAUCUGUUGGAAAACGUUUUGGGUAAUCAGGGGAUUAAAAUUGAGUUUUGGAGUGAGAAGAGGGUUGAACCCGUAGGUUUUUGCACUGCCCAGAUGAAUGGUCGCUUAAGCGAACGACCCGUCGCUUAAGUGAGCAUUCACGCAAGCUUCCCAGAAUUCUGUUUUAGAAGUUCACUUAAGCGAACUGUGAGCGAGCCUGUAAUCGAAAAAAUAAUUCCAUUCUGCCAAGAGUUCGCUCAAGCGAACCAUAAGCGAACCCGUAAGCGAAAAAUCAAUUUCAUUCUGUCAGAAGUUCGCUCAAGCGAACCGUCAGCGAGCGGAACCUCAACUUUCUGUAAGCCGGUCGCUUAAGCGAACUAGCCAUCGCUUAAGCGAAGAUGACCUUAGUCAGCCACUUUUUGAACUUUGUGUAACGCCCUAUUUUAAUAUUUAUUUAUUUUAUUGAGUUUAGAGUCUAUUUAUAUGAUUUAUGUGAUUAAAACGAUUAUGUGGUGUGUUGUUAUUUUAUUAAGUGAUGUUAUUUUAUUAUUUAAUAGAAUAAGAUUUGAAAUAAAAUAAGAUUAAGUUGUGGGGGUUGUUUUGAGAAUUUAGAGAGUUUAAUAGAAUAAGUGAGAAUUAGGAUUUAAUUGGAGUUUUGGGGUUAAAUGAGAAUUAAGUGAAUUAAGUGGGCAUUAAUUAAAUAUUGGAAGAUUAUACUUACUGAGAAAAAGGAGAAAAUAGGGUUAGAACCAGUUUCACGUACAAACAGCUUUUGGGAGAAAAACCAAGAGAAAGCUAGGAGAAGAGCCAAGGGAGGAGAAUCAGAUUUUUGUAGAGCUUUGUUCAUCGAUCUAAGGUAAGGGUAAGACUAACUCUCAAUGAUUGUAAUGUAUAACUUCUGAAAAUUGAUUUAACAUGAAUUGUUCUUGAAAUAGGAAUUGGGGAAUUAGGGUUCUAAUACUGAUUUUGAGUUGAAAAGUGUAGGAGACAUGUUAAUUAUGCUUAGAAUCAUGUUCAGAUCGUUUUCAGGAUUUAGUAACAUUGUUGUAAUCAGAAUUGGGAAAGGUUGGGAGUUGUUGGAGAGAAUUUGAGAGAUUAUGCAAGAUUGUUGGAAUGAGCCGAAUUGUUGUUGUUGAUGCAUGUUUUAUGUUCCUUUAGAUGCCUAAUUGUAUAUUGAACCUAUAAACAAUCUUUGGAAACAUGUUUGGGCAUUGGGAGAUCAAAAUUGGGAGUUUUGGGUGAAAAAGGGGUGGAACCCGUAACAUUUUUCUGCAGAAAUUCUGAAUGGUCGCUUAAGCGACGCUGCAAAGUGUUGUCUGAUGACUGCACGCUUAAGCGUGCUGUAAGCGAGCUGGUAAGCGUGGAGUUACAGUAGCUACUGGAAUUUGGACGCUUAAGCGUGCAGGUGGACGCUUAAGCGAGUAGUUCUUUUUCCAGCACUUUUGGAAUUUUUUUCUGAGCUUCCUAGGGUCAAUCCGAACUUCUUAAAACAAUUCUUUUAACUUGUAUAAUCAUUAGUCUCAUACUUAAUCCUACUGGAACAUCUCCUUGAAUGAAAUUUGGACUUGGUUUGUGAAAUCAAAACUUAACUUUGAAAAUUGCUCAAGAACGUUGACUUUUCCGGAAAAUGGGAUCUUCAAGGAAAUGGAAUGGGAUUAAGAUAGAAUAGAGAUUAUAUGAUUACUGAAAAUCGUAGUGAUUGGUUUCCUUGAGUUUUAUUUGGCUUUGGUUUUAAAAAUGGAAGAUUCUUGUAAAAUGUUAAAGAGAGACGAACAUUGAUGAAAAUAUCCUUUUAAGCCAAUCACCUUAUAAAUCCUUCAUAUUUAGUUUUGUAUGACUAUAUGAAAGUAUUUGAUUGAUAGAUGAGUGUUGAAUGUGAUGUUUAUCUUAAGGUGAUGUAUUUUCCUCUUGACUUGGAAAGUGGGCAAAUCAUAUAUCUAAUGUGAAAUUAUGUAAAGGUGAUGAUAUUGGUGUAUCGAUAUACAUUGUUUAUUAUGAUUUGGUGGGUGAAUAUAUAUGUUGUUAUGAAUGUGUUAAUGAAUCUUGCUAUUAAGAGUCGUUGUGUCAUAGUUGACUAAGAGGUGGAGUAUGUCAUAAUUAAUUAUGUACAUUUGUUGUUGUUGUUGUCGUUGCUGUUGUUGAGUUGUAUGUAAAUAUACACAAGUGGAGUCAUAAGUCAUAUAUACAUAUAUGCAUUAGUUGAGUUGUAUGUAGAUAUACACAAGUGGGUCAGUUGCAUAAGCAUAAAAGUGAGAGAGCUUCGGCUCUGGAACGCCUUGUCGUUCAAAGCGGUGGAACACUAGUUGUUCAAAGCGGUGUUGAGCGGUGAGGACUUAUGUCCUGAUAAGAAUGCUUUAACCAUUCGACAGCGGUGUGGGUCAUGGCCCUGAUUAUGGUACCACAUGCAUAGUUGCAUUUGUUGAGGAGUCUUAGUGGAGUUGUCAUGUCUUGCAUGAGUCUUAGCGGUGGUGUCGAGUUGUUGCAUGAGUCGUUGUUGUUGGUUUUAAUUACCAUUUAUUGUUGAUGUUGUUAAUGAUGAUAUACUUAUAUAUUGAUGAAUUAUUAUUAUGAUAGGGUGUUAGAUUUAAUUGAUGAGUUAGAUAUCUAUUAUUGAUGAUAUUGUUGAUUAUGAAAUAUAUACAUAUAUUGGAUAAUUGUAGUUGCCGUUGUUCUUGAGAGAGUUGUUGUUGUUGUUGUUGAUUAAGUUGUGGUUGUCGUUGUUGAUUGAGUUGUCGUUGUUGUUGAUUAAGUUGUUGUCGUCGUUUUUGAGUGAGUUGUUGUCGUUGUUGUUGAAUCUUGUUGUUGUCGUCGUUGUUGGUUGAAUUAACAAGUGUUACUAAAGUUAAAGAAGUAAGAACAUUAUUGUUGAAUAUAUGUUGUUGUUUAUAUUAUUAUGAUAUUGAUUACGAUGUUAUGAUGACUGUUUAUGGUGUUGAAUAUGAGGUUGUUAGGAUGUUACAUGAUGAUGAUUAUGGAUGUUGUGAUGAUGGUUAUGUUAAGUUGAUACGUUGUCUUUUAUUCAUGUAUUGCUAAUGGAAUGUUUGAUGAAUAAUUAUUAUUAUGAAUUGAUGAUGUUACGUAUAGUUGUUAAGUUGUCUUCUAUUCAUGAGUUGUUAAUGAGAUGCUUGGUGGAGAAUGUUAAUAUGAAUUAAUGAUGUUGUUACGUUGUAUAUGAUUAUGAUUAAGAUAUUGAUUAUGAUGUUAAAUGAUGCUGUUAUGAUGUUGUUUAUGAUAUCGAGUUAUGACUGUUGAUAUGAUGAGUACAUGAUAUGGUUUAGGAGUCGUUAAAAGAAUUAUUAUUACUAAUUGAUGGAGUUUAAGUUGUUAGAUGCAUUUGAUGAAUUAUAUGCUUAUUAUUAUUGUUUGUGAAAUCUCACCCCUUCUGCUUGAAAAUGUUGCCCUUCGUAUGGUAAGUUUAGUUCGUAGGUAGGUNNNNNNNNNNNNNNNNNNNNNNNNNNNNNNNNNNNNNNNNNNNNNNNNNNNNNNNNNNNNNNNNNNNNNNNNNNNNNNNNNNNNNNNNNNNNNNNNNNNNCUAGUAAGUAAUUUUAUAGAGAUAAUUGUUAUAUAUAAUAUUAAUGAUGAUCUGUGAAGUCUUGAGUGAUGAUGAUUUGAUGUUGUUUAUAAUGUGAUAUAAUUGUAUAUGCAUUACUUGAAUUAUAUGUGAUUAUUUGAGAUGUUGUUUACUUACGUGCGAUAUUAUUAUAUCAUGAUGUUUUGCAUACUGCCUAUGUUGCUGAUUGUUAAUUAACUAAGCUGCAUGAGUCAAUCUAAGUCGUUGAAGAUGUUGAUGUUCCAAAUUAUUGGACUAUUAUAAGAGGUUGUCGAUUUAAGAUGUUUAAGAAGUCGAGUCCAUGCAUUAUCAUUUCAGCGAUAGGGGCUUGAUGCUCCGGAGUAUAUUGAUGCUCAAAUAGCGAUAGGGGCUUGAUGCUCCGGAAGUAUAAUAGUACUCAAAUAGCGAUUGGAGCUUGAUGCUCCGGAAGUAUAAUAAUACUCAAAUAGCGAUGGGGGCUUGAUGCUCUGUAUUGGUACCACAUGCAUAUAAGAGGUCUACGUUGCAUAGUCGAGUUGGAGUCGCAUUUGUCGAGUCAAAAGUGUUAAGUUGUCAAGUUGUUUAAGUGUGAUUCUUUAUUUGAACUAUUAAUGAUGUGAUAUAUGAUAUAUUAUUAUCUAUGAUGAAUAUUAUGAUGUUUUCACGUUGUUAAAUAUAAUUAUUGAAUUAUAUGUUUAAUAUUAUUGUUUUGUGAAAUCUCACCCCUUCUAAAUGUUGCCCACCAUGGGUAACUUGCAGGUAACCAAGAAUAGUUGAUGUCGUGUGAGGUUUCCCUCUCGUGUGUCUUAGGUGCUCUGAUACGUAACGGGAUGAGAUUUUGUUGUGGCUAUUUUCUAUUCCUUUACGUAUCGCUUAUGUUUUUACAUGACUAUGAUUUAAUUUGGAUUUUUAAGGGAUGUUUUAAUGAGGCCUUCGUGCCAAAGACUAUUUUAGAUGUUGAAUAAAUUCCGCUGCGAAGUAUUAAAUAUUAUGUUAUUGAUUUAUGAAGGAUAAAUAGUUAUUUAUUCCAUUUACCAUUUUUGAAAAGAAGUGUGACAUUCCGUUUAUGUUGAGAACUCUGAUUAUUUAAAUGAAAUUUUUACGUUGGGAAAACGGGGUGUUACAGAGACAAAAAUGUGUUAUGCAGUCUUUUUCCCUUAACCAUGGUUUUAUCCCAUUGGGUUUUCUUGGUAAGGUUUUUAACGAUGCAGAUUAUAACACAAAAGGAUGUUGUACUCUUUUUCCUUCACUGGAAUUUUUUCCCACUGGGUUUUUCUCUAGUAAGGUUUUAAUGAGGCAUAUCCUCGAUGGACAUCAAGGGGGAGUGUUAUGAAUAUUAUAAGUGGAUGUCCAUAUAACAAUUAGGUUAUUGGGUCGUACUAUUAGCUUAUUGGACCAUAUUGUGCUUGCUCCCUAAGUCAUUGGUGCUUGCUCCUCAAGUCAUUGUAUUUCUCUAUAAAUAGAGCUCAUAUGUAACCUAAUGGUACAUACUAAGAGAAUAAUAUAAUCCUCUUUCUUCUCUCUUUAUUCUCUCUUCUUCUCUUUAAUCUUGUUCUUCUUAUACUUAUUCUAAUAGUUUUAUAACACCUAUAAUUUUUUUAUAAAUAAUAUUUUUAAUAUGUUUAAAUAAUGCCUAGAACAAAAAUAAAUUGUAAACAUUUUCGUACAAACGUCGUAAACUAAAACCGCGAGGAAAACAAAUUUUAAAUAAAUUAGAUAUGUUAUGGUUAUAGAUAUUUAUAUAUUCGAUCUUUAAAACUAUAAAUAACGAAAUGAAUAAAUAUAAUUUUAUAUUACAUUUAUAUUUGUGUUAAUUCAUUGAAUUUUCACUUUUGUUUUUUUACUUUGAUAAUUAACUAAGUAAAUAAUUAUUUGAAUAAUAUAUAUAAUUUAUAGAAUUUUUUUUUUGUUAUGCGGGCUAACGGGCUACCCGCGGCCCAUUCGGGCUAGCCCUAACGGGUACCAGGCUUUUAAGGGCCGGGCUAAAAAGCCCUAUUAAAAUACGGGCUCAAUAUUUUAGGCCCAAGCCCUAUAUUUAUUCGGGCUAAACGGGCCGGCACAUUCGGCCCAGCCCGUUUUGACAGCUCUACUCCAUCUGAUCUUAUUAUUAAAACCAAUCCACAUUCGUUGAAUAACUAGUAUAUUUGAUAUAUAGAACAAAUACAAUAAUUAUUAUUAUUUUUAACAAAUUAAAAUGGUGUAAAUUGUUCAAAAGCAAAGUGAUUCAUCCCGCACAAGGUGUGCUAAAAUUGAUGAUUCACCCAAAGUCUGUUACAAACGACAAACACCUAACAACGAUGCCACCACCAAAACAAAAAAUAAAAUAAAAUAACNNNNNNNNNNNNNNNNNNNNNNNNNNNNNNNNNNNNNNNNNNNNNNNNNNNNNNNNNNNNNNNNNNNNNNNNNNNNNNNNNNNNNNNNNNNNNNNNNNNNGGUUAAAGCAUUCUCAACAGGACAUAAGUCCUCACCACUACACCACUUUGAGUAACUAGUACUCCACCACUUUGAACGACCAAGCAUUCCAGAGCCGAAGCUCUUCCACUGUUAUGUUUAAUGCAACUAAUCCCCAUAGAGUAUAUCUACAUACCAACCAACCUAUACAUAUACAUAUAUAUGAUUCACCAAUCAACUUACAUCUUUAAGGAAAUUUUAAUUAUAUACAACACACAUCAGUCAACAUCCAUUCAUCAAACCAACUAAAGCAUCCAGGGAAAUAUAUAUCAGCAUACAAGCCAUGCAAUAAUUCAACAAAAUACACCAUCCAAACAACAACAGAAAUUAACCAACCAAAUACUGGGCAGCUCGCCUCGCGAGCUCAUCUACUCGCUAUGGCGAGCUCAGGGAAACAGGUACUCGCCAUGGCGAGUUGGAGGCGAACUCGAGGCGAACAGAAAUAUGGUGCUCUCGGGAAAAAUGACAUUUUUCUCACUCAAACCUCAAUUCUAAGCUCCCUAAUCAUCUUUUGAACUUAAAACUUGCUCUAGUCCUCUUAAGAAUCAUCUAGGUACACGAAACUACCCAAAAUACGGCUUAUAACAACUUUUUCAAAAUCCAGAUUUUUACAAGGUUACUCGCCAUGGCGAGCUGUAUCACUCGCGAGGCGAGCGAUGAAGUUGUUCACUCGCUAUGGCGAGCAAUGGCUACUCGCGAGGCGAGCGAUGAACUUCAGUACGGGCAGAAUGCAGGUUUACCCCAAAAAUCCCAUUUUUCCUCAAUUCACUCCCCAAAUUAGCUUACAGAUAUGCAAUGAAAGGUUUUAUGCACCCAGAACCCAUUUCUACCCUCAAUUCUAUGAUUUCUACACUCAAAACUCCUUAAUCAACAAAAACCCAAUUUCUCCCAAAUCCUCACAUAAACCUGUUAGAACACAAUCAACAUUCAGAAUCUAUAUAAUUGCGGUAAACCUCACCCUUACCUUAGAAUUGCAGAAAAAAUACAGCAGCAAAUGAUUCCUAAGCUUCUCUCCCUUGCACUAGCUUUUCUCCCAAAACCAGACUGUUUUCACGUAAAACUGUUUUCUCUCUUUUUCUUUCCUUUUCUCCACUCCCAAAAUGUAACCUCCCACUCCCUAAUUAGCAAUUAACUCCCUACUAAUUAUGUUAAUUAUUUCAUAACCCCAAAAUAAUAAUUAAUCCUAUUCUUAUAUUAUUUUAAUUAUUUAAUAAAAUAAUCAUAUAAAAAUAAAUAUACACUACAUAAAUCACCAAAAAUCACAUAAAUGACACCACACAAUUAAAAAUAAUUAAAUAAAAAUUAGAGUGUUACAUGCUACACUUCUAAAAAUCAUAAAAUAGAUAAUUAAAAAAACUAAUCUUUCAACAUAAUUAUUUCAAAACUCGCAGCGGAUAAGUUCAUCAUCAUUAAUAAAGUCUUGGCACGCAGGCGUCAUUAAAACAUCUCAUAAAAUUCAGUUAAACAUCAUAAAUGAACACGUAAAAGAAUGAAGCAUGCAUAACAUAAACCCCAUCCCGUUACGUAUCAGAGCAACCUAGAUGACUCAGUGAGGCAAGGCCACUCACGACAGCAACACUGCACACUAAGCUCGAUCACCUGCAAGUUACUCAUACGAAGAGCAACAUUUCCAAGCAGAAGGGGUGAGAUUUCACAAAACAAUAAUAUUAAUCAAUAUAAUUCAACAAUCGCAAUUAACAACAUAAACAUCUUCAACAUAAUCAUCUUAAACAUCAUAGCAUCAUUGAUAAUAAAAUAUCAAGUUACCACUUCAUUCUAUCAUCAUAAAUAACAUAACAUCAUUUGACUCGAUAAUGCGACAAUGCAACCUAAACCUCUUAUAUGCAUGUGGUACCAAUUCAGGGCAUGAGCCCCCAACAUUAUAGUAUUAAUAUACUUUCAGGGCAUAAGCCCCCAACAGUUUAUUUUGAGCAAAUACUCCAUCGUGGUGAGUACAAACCUCCAGGGCAUGAUCCCCCAACAAAUGUAUGCUAAUGCAUGGACUCAAUCAUCUAAAACAUCUUAAUCAUCUCAUAUACAUCCAAUAAUUUGGAGUUCAACAUCAUCUUAAUCAUCUUGUAUAGACUCAUGCAACUUAGUUAAAUAACAAUAGCAGCAUAAUCAGAUCACAACAACAUUAACUUCAUAAUAUCAAUUCAUUUCAACAUCUUGAUCAUUCAAUAAUAUUUCAAGUAAUGCAUUUAAUCAUUAAAUCACAUUAGAAUCAGCUUAACAGUUCAUAACAGCUUCACAGAUCUCAGUUAACAUCUUAAAUAGGUCACAUUACUACCUAAGGGUCCAUCUCAAAAGUCAAGAAUACAGAAUUCGACAUGCUCUCUAGUCAUGCUCGCGAUGGCGAGUGUAACACCCCGACUUCCCAACAGUCAUAUUAAUAAGUAAAAUCAGAGUUAAAUCAACAACGGAGUGUUACACUGCUUUUCAAAAAUUCUUGAAUAGGAUAAAAUGCUAUUCAUUAAAUAAUAGUUCAUUAAAACAUAUCAAUUCAUCGCAGCGGGAAUAAUUUUCAACAUUAAACAUCCUUCAAAUAAAUCCUUGGCACUUGGCCUCAACAAAAUAUCUUUAAUGAUUAAAAUCAAUAUCAGCAGGUUCAUAAUGAUACAUAAGGAAUGAAAACAUGACAACGAUAUCCCAUCCCGUUACGUAUCAGAGCCCUAAGACACUUGAGCCACCACUUCUAAUAUUCNNNNNNNNNNNNNNNNNNNNNNNNNNNNNNNNNNNNNNNNNNNNNNNNNNNNNNNNNNNNNNNNNNNNNNNNNNNNNNNNNNNNNNNNNNNNNNNNNNNNAAUCCAGAGUAGGUUGCUGUUUGUGCUGUCGUGAGUGGCCUUGCCUCACUGAGUCUUAGGUUGCUCUGAUACGUAAUGGGAGGGGAUCUUUAGUGGCUAUUUCUCUUUCCUUUACGUACAUGUUAUGUUUUGAUGUUGAUUAACUGAACUUAUAAUGCGUUUUGAUGAGGCCUGCGUGCCAAUACUUAUUUAUGAUGAUGAACUUAAUCCGCUGCGAAGUAUUUGAAUUUAAUUAUGUUGAAAGAUUAAUUUUGUUAAUUAUCUGUUUUUAUGAUUUGUAGAAGUGUAGCACUCCGUUAUUUGAUGAUUACUCUGAUAAUUAUGUUGAAAUUUCUAAAUGUUCCUUUCAACUUAUAAGACCAUUAUAUAUACCUUGAAUCCUACUGAACACAUUGUUAAUCGAAUUGGUGUAAUUUAAUGAAUUUCGGAUUAGAGUGAGUACAAAACUAAAGUGAAAAUAUACUAUGUUGAAUGAACUUGAUGUAUUAGUAUGAUUGUUAUUAAUUAUACAUUUUUCUUGAUGUUGGAUUGGUUUGUGAUGAAGUUGUUGAAUUAUGAAGUCGUAUGUCAUAUAUACAUAUAUGCAUUGUCGAGUGGUAUGUAGAUAUACACAAGUGGAGUCGGUUGCAUAAGCAUUAAAGCGGGAGGGCUUCGGCUCUGGAACGCCUUGUCGUUCAAAGCGGUGGAACACUUUGUUGUUCAAAGCGGUGGAACACUUUGUUGUCAAAGCGGUGUUUAGCGGUGAUGACUUAUGUCCUAAAAAGAAUGCUUUAACCAUUCGAUUAGCGGUGAGGGCUCUGGCCCUGAAUAUGGUACCACAUGGAUAGUUGCAUUUGUCGAGGAGUCUUAGAGGUGCUGUCAUGUCAUUGCAUGAGUCGUUGUUGUUGGUUGAAUUGCUAUAUUAUUGAUGGUGUUGUUGAUUAUGAAAUACUUAUGCAUAUAGAAUAAUCAUUGAUAUUUUAGGGUGUUAGAUUUGAUUGAUGUUAUUAUAUAUUAUUAUUAUUAUUUGUGAAUCUCACCCCUUCUGCUUGAAAAUGUUGCCCUUCCUAUGGGUAACUUGCAGGUGAUCCUGAGUAGUAGGUGGUGGCUCAAUGUGUCUAGGACUCUGAUGCGUGGGUUGGGAUUUAUAGUUUAAGUUUCUACCUAUGUAUCAAAUUUUGGAACAAAUUAAUGUAGUCCAUGUUUUAUGUUGAAUUUUCAUGUUGAGGCUUAAUGCCAAGAUUAUUUUGGAUAAUGGAGUUUAAUUUAAAGAAUAUUCCGCUGCAGUUUAAUGAAGGAUGUUGUUAAAUAGUUUUAAUCUAUUUAAGAAUUUAUAUUUUGUAGUGUGACAUGCCGUUUAACGUGGAAC